GGGAUUGUGGCUCAGUGGUAGAGUGCUUGCCUAGCAUGUGUGAGGCUCUGGGUUCAAUCCUCAGCACCA
This 69-nucleotide transfer RNA is filed under the name Ictidomys tridecemlineatus (thirteen-lined ground squirrel). RNAcentral's name for it is "Spermophilus tridecemlineatus (thirteen-lined ground squirrel) tRNA". It matches the Rfam family "tRNA". From Rfam's summary of the family: Transfer RNA (tRNA) molecules are approximately 80 nucleotides in length. Lineage: Eukaryota; Metazoa; Chordata; Mammalia; Rodentia; Sciuridae. The record is from Rfam by way of RNAcentral.